This 486-nucleotide ribosomal RNA is filed under the name uncultured bacterium. RNAcentral's name for it is "partial 16S ribosomal RNA". It matches the Rfam family "Bacterial small subunit ribosomal RNA", at positions 30 to 507 of the family's 1533-position model. The record is from RNAcentral.
AUUGAACGCUGGCGGCAUGCCUUACACAUGCGAGUCGAACGGCAGCACGGGUGCUUGCACCUGGUGGCGAGUGGCGAACGGGUGAGUAAUACAUCGGAACAUGUCCUGUAGUGGGGGAUAGCCCGGCGAAAGCCGGAUUAAUACCGCAUACGAUCUACGGAUGAAAGCGGGGGACCUUCGGGCCUCGCGCUAUAGGGUUGGCCGAUGGCUGAUUAGCUAGUUGGUGGGGUAAAGGCCUACCAAGGCGACGAUCAGUAGCUGGUCUGAGAGGACGACCAGCCACACUGGGACUGAGACACGGCCCAGACUCCUACGGGAGGCAGCAGUGGGGAAUUUUGGACAAUGGGCGAAAGCCUGAUCCAGCAAUGCCGCGUGUGUGAAGAAGGCCUUCGGGUUGUAAAGCACUUUUGUCCGGAAAGAAAUCCUUGGCCCUAAUACGGUCGGGGGAUGACGGUACCGGAAGAAUAAGCACCGGCUAACUACGUG